AGACAGACUACAGCCUUGAAGACACCAUGUCCUCCCGAAGGAGGCUCAGCAGCACUCAUGUACAGGGGAAAAGCUGUCCCGUGGACCAAGGAUACAACCCUCAGCUGAGAACCACAGCCCAGAAUCACAGGUCCAAGGCAACAGAAGUGAGAAUGGUACCAUUCAAAGUUAUCCCUAGGAUGCACUUGCAAAUUUUUCACUUCCUGUUCUCAACACUUUCUACUGCGCUGGCCUAGAAGUCUUAGUUCCAGACAGGACAUCCCCUAAGAUAUCUGCCACUAUUACCUUGCCCUGUUAGUAAGGGCAGUGUGAAACUACGACAACCCAAUCCAGGCAGGAUGAGAAGAAGUUCAAAACCUUCAGCGAUGGAUCACUGUACUAAGUAAAGAAAAGACCUGCUGAGGUGCUUGCUGAAGGCCAAGGGAAUACAAAGUGAGAAGUAGAAGAAGGUGGUUACAAAUACCAGCUACAGCCAAGUGACCAGCUACAGAAACAAGGAUGGUAACUGUCAUGACCAUUUGUCUCCUGUUUUUUUAAUAUGCUCAUGCAUACAU
This is a long non-coding RNA of Fukomys damarensis (Damara mole-rat), 554 nucleotides long. RefSeq lists it as uncharacterized. NCBI's taxonomy places the organism in Eukaryota, Metazoa, Chordata, Mammalia, Rodentia, Bathyergidae. The transcript is spliced from 3 exons. The record is from RefSeq and is a predicted model, not a curated record.